RNAcentral lists this ribosomal RNA (495 nucleotides) under uncultured bacterium. RNAcentral describes it as "partial 16S ribosomal RNA". It matches the Rfam family "Bacterial small subunit ribosomal RNA", at positions 28 to 506 of the family's 1533-position model. The record is from RNAcentral.
GAUGAACGCUGGCGGCGUGCCUAAUACAUGCAAGUCGAGCGAACAGAUGAGGAGCUUGCUCCUCUGACGUUAGCGGCGGACGGGUGAGUAACACGUGGAUAACCUACCUAUAAGACUGGGAUACUUCGGGAAACCGGAGCUAAUACCGGAUAAUAUAUUGAACCGCAUGGUUCAAUAGUGAAAGACGGUUUUGCUGUCACUUAUAGAUGGAUCCGCGCCGCAUUAGCUAGUUGGUAAGGUAACGGCUUACCAAGGCAACGAUGCGUAGCCGACCUGAGAGGGUGAUCGGCCACACUGGAACUGAGACACGGUCCAGACUCCUACGGGAGGCAGCAGUAGGGAAUCUUCCGCAAUGGGCGAAAGCCUGACGGAGCAACGCCGCGUGAGUGAUGAAGGUCUUCGGAUCGUAAAACUCUGUUAUUAGGGAAGAACAAAUGUGUAAGUAACUAUGCACGUCUUGACGGUACCUAAUCAGAAAGCCACGGCUAACUACGU